Phrynosoma platyrhinos (Desert horned lizard) is the source of this 70-nucleotide non-coding RNA. Lineage: Eukaryota; Metazoa; Chordata; Lepidosauria; Squamata; Phrynosomatidae. The record is from the annotation of a GenBank genome assembly.
AGCUGUGGCAUAAUGGUUUGAGUGUUGAACUACAACUAUGGAGACCAGGGUUCGAAUCCCGGCUCAGCUA